GUUCCUACGGGGCGCAGCAGUGAGGAAUAUUGGUCAAUGGACGCAAGUCUGAACCAGCCAUGCCGCGUGCAGGAUGACGGCUCUAUGAGUUGUAAACUGCUUUUGUACGAGGGUAAUAUCGUAUGCCGUCUUCUGCUUGAAAAAAAAGUACGAAUAAGGAUCGGCUAACUCCGUGCCAGCAGCCGCGGUAAUACGGAGGAUCCAAGCGUUAUCCGGAUUUAUUGGGUUUAAAGGGUGCGUAGGCGGUUUUAUAAGUUA
Molecule: ribosomal RNA, 258 nt
Filed under: uncultured bacterium
Lineage: Bacteria
Description: partial 16S ribosomal RNA
Rfam family: Bacterial small subunit ribosomal RNA
Source: RNAcentral